Molecule: long non-coding RNA, 1376 nt
Organism: Helianthus annuus (common sunflower)
Lineage: Eukaryota; Viridiplantae; Streptophyta; Magnoliopsida; Asterales; Asteraceae
Exons: 5
Source: RefSeq, a predicted model, not a curated record
GGUAAACUUGCCCUAAUACCCUUACCCGCCCACCAUUAUCUUCAUUCCCCCCAAUUUGUUCGUAUGACUCCCCCAUCGUCCCAUUACCUCCGACACCGGUUUAUCUUCUCCCAACCACCACAUCCGCCGCCCCGUUUUGCGCGCCCCAACCACCACCUCCGACUCCCACAAGAUGUGGAACAGCAAUGGUGGUUGUUGGUAUUGACCUGUAUAUUUUCAUUAGCAAUUUUCAUAUCACAGACAAGAUCAUGAGGGAGCAACUAGUAGCAGAUCGAUUUUUUUUUGUUAUUUCCCUGUUGUACGGCCUCCUUUCACCCACUCUAUGCUUAACAUCAUUUGGUUUGAAGAUUUUACUAGGUUUUAUUCUAAGGUAAACUUAUCAAAUCUGACCAGUCUUAUGAACCACAUGGGUUUGUGUUGGUUUUGUUUAUAAUUGGAUACCUGUGCUAUAAUUUUGAUUAAAUAUCUUAUGAAACCAUUGAUAAAUAUACGAAGAAAGUUAAGUCUUCCAUGAGAUGAUUUUUAAUGUUAAGUUCAACCUAGUAAAUAAAAUAUGUAAUUAGAGUGAUUAUGUUAAAUAUAAGAUUCUCUUUCUUGAUUGGUGCACAUAGGGGUGCAAACGAGCCGAGCUCGAGCUUAUCUAACUUUAGAAAGCUCGGCUCGAAUCGGGCUUCGUAUGGAAAGCUCAGCUCGGCUCGUAGGUAAAUAACAAACUACAGCGCAUGAUGAAUCUUAUUAUCCUUCUCUGGAAUACAUUCCAACACAAGAAGAGAUUAGCACUUAUUAGCUUAUGUUUGAGGAGGACCGACCUAAGUUCAUUCCAAAACGGUAAUGUCAAUAGUAAUUUUUUAUUCCCAUUUUUUAUUGUUGCUUUAGUUCUAGCUAUGAAGAUACUAAUAUAUCUAUACAUGUCAAUCUUGUAGAUUCACAUCUUUGAGAAGUGUUCCAGCUUAUGAAAAGAGUGUUCGGGAAACCUUGAUCGAUGUCUAGAUCUGUACUUGUUCCCAGAGCAAGAAAGAAGCGUGUAGCCAUAGUCCUGGAUCAAGUCGAGGAAACGCUCUCUCAUGGCAAUAGUUCAGAUCACGGGCCGAAGACCCAGCUUCAAAAGCCAAUACAAUCUUGUCAUUUUCUCCAUUGCCAACUAGCAGUCAUGCAGCCACCCCUGUUGUUGCUGCUGCUUCUUCAAUCCUUACAGAAUUGCACCGAAGCUGUAAAGGAUUUGCGCGUGCUGGAUUUUGGAGGAGCAGCAAUUAGCGUUCAUUAGUGAAUAAUGGCGAUUUUGUAAUUUAAACGUGCUUUUAUGUUAUUUGUUUUUGUUAAACUUAUGUUCCGAAUCAUAUUUAUAUUUAUGAUUAUGCAUUUUUCAACAGGAAAAA